Cyanistes caeruleus (blue tit) is the source of this 1622-nucleotide non-coding RNA. Lineage: Eukaryota; Metazoa; Chordata; Aves; Passeriformes; Paridae. The record is from RefSeq and is a predicted model, not a curated record.
ACUUGUGAAAAGGCAUUUCUUAGCAACAGGAUACUGAACUUUCUGCUCUGGCCCAGGAGAAUCCUUAUGUAUCAGCAGCUUGAAAAGGGACACAGGAAAAAGUCUUGGCAAGGAACCAGACACCUCCAAGAUGGAAAUUCUGUUCUACAGCCAACCCCAAGGGAGUUUUGGAGAGUAACUGGACCCAAUAACUAUAUGAAGCCUCAUAUACUUUUCUAAACUUACAGCAGCAUGACUGGAUGGUUUGGUAUCACCCUGGGUUUGGGAAUCACCCUGGGUGACAAGGGGUGCAAUAAAUGCCUAAUAGCUUGGAGCAUCAAAUGAAGACAGGGAAAAGCAUUUUGUCCAUAUAAAACCCCAGUAACCCCAAAUAAGUGAUCAUGGGUUUAUGGAUGGCAGCAGGAGGCAGAAGUGCUCAGUAUGGAGAAGGUGGAGCUCCUUUUGCUUCCCCUGAGGACCAGGAGGAGCUCCAUGGUCCCCAGGGAUCAAGGUGAAAUUCCUCAGGAAUGAAAAUACUGCCAUGAUUACAGCCUGAGCCCCAGAAUUCAGCUUGAAAGUGCUCAGAAUCUCAAUGAUGAAACUGUUUUUUGAGGUGAACACCUUCCUUGGACUGCUGUUAUGGAGAAAGCCUCUUAAAUGUCAGUCAAAAAAGCAAAUGAUAACUUAAGCUCUUCUCAGUGCUUAAUUCUAAAUUUAAACAGGUUCCACUGAAGGAUGAAAGGCCUGAGGCACAGCUAAAAUCGUGAUACUGUAGCCUACAUUUAAGAAAGAUGCAAGAAAAUAGAGGUUUUCAAGGGUUAUCUCUCCUUUUGUGGGGACAAAAAUAAUUUCUUGAGGAAAUAACCAGGUUUUGUCUCCUUACCAUUGUACCUAUCUCAGACUGUGACCCCGGGGUAUGUUUUAUAUUAUUAUACCUGCCUUCUUUCUGGAAACAAAUAAAGAUAGAGGAGGUUAGAGACAUUUUCACCCGCUCAGACAUGCAAAGAUGGAACGAGAUAUAAAUCAGAAAAAAGUCAGUUGUGUGUCAGAGGACAAAAUGCCAUUAAAACCAAAACUCCAGAACUCGUGGCUCCCUUAUGGUACUUCUAGAAUUAAAAUAUCUCAUUGCACAGCUCAUGGACUUCUUCCAGUAGCACCACCACGAAUGCAGAGCAUUUCUUUGUAGAUCAAUUCAGUUACCUUGAGAGCAGAAUGCAUCCCCCUAGGAACAACUGUAAUAAAAGUGAAAUCAUAAUUUCACAGUGCUUCAUCACUGUGAUUGCACAAUCACAAUUUUGACAGUGCUUCAUUCCCUUAAGGUACAACUGAAGUCAAAAAAGCCCUUUGCUCCUAGCCCUUAAACUCCAGGAGAUUAUCAUUAAAAUGCAGCACAUCUUCUUUCUAAAGCUGUAAUUGAAAGAACUUCUCACACACUAAAAAUGACGUUCAGGUAGAUGAAGAAAUCAGAGGGGAAUUGACAGCACAAUCCUUCAAAAAGCAGAAAGGCUGAUCUGUUUUCUGACUGUUCUUAAAUCUGGAUUAAAGGCAGUAUGAGGUGUGUGUGCACUAAUGAUGGCUGGUGUAGACUAGGCCUGGGCUGUGCAUGAGGUUGGCCACGUGCAGGUAGGGAUGAGUUGAGGAAU